UACGGAAGGUGCAAGCGUUAAUCGGAAUCAUUGGGCGUAAAGGGCGCGUAGGCGGGACAGCAAGUCAGAUGUGAAAUUCCGGAGCUCAACUCCGGAGCUGCAUUUGAAACUACUAUCCUCGAGGGUAGACGGAGAAAGCGGAAUUCCAUGUGUAGCGGUGAAAUGCGUAGAUACAUGGAGGAACACCGGUGGCGAAGGCGGCUUUCUAGUUUAUUCCUGACGCUAAAGCGCGAAAGCAAGGGGAGCAAACAGG
RNAcentral lists this ribosomal RNA (253 nucleotides) under uncultured bacterium. Its description in RNAcentral is "partial 16S ribosomal RNA". It matches the Rfam family "Bacterial small subunit ribosomal RNA", at positions 524 to 776 of the family's 1533-position model. The record is from RNAcentral.